UAAGCGACUAAGCGUACACGGUGGAUGCCCUGGCAGUCAGAGGCGAUGAAGGACGUGCUAAUCUGCGAUAAGCGUCGGUAAGGUGAUAUGAACCGUUAUAACCGGCGAUUUCCGAAUGGGGAAACCCAGUGUGUUUCGACACACUAUCAUUAACUGAAUCCAUAGGUUAAUGAGGCGAACCGGGGGAACUGAAACAUCUAAGUACCCCGAGGAAAAGAAAUCAACCGAGAUUCCCCCAGUAGCGGCGAGCGAACGGGGAGCAGCCCAGAGCCUGAAUCAGUGUGUGUGUUAGUGGAAGCGUCUGGAAAGGCGCGCGAUACAGGGUGACAGCCCCGUACACAAAAAUGCACAUGCUGUGAGCUCGAUGAGUAGGGCGGGACACGUGGUAUCCUGUCUGAAUAUGGGGGGACCAUCCUCCAAGGCUAAAUACUCCUGACUGACCGAUAGUGAACCAGUACCGUGAGGGAAAGGCGAAAAGAACCCCGGCGAGGGGAGUGAAAAAGAACCUGAAACCGUGUACGUACAAGCAGUGGAAGCCUCUUUAUGGGGUGACUGCGUACCUUUUGUAUAAUGGGUCAGCGACUUAUAUUCUGUAGCAAGGUUAACCGAAUAGGGGAGCCGAAGGGAAACCGAGUCUUAACUGGGCGUUAAGUUGCAGGGUAUAGACCCGAAACCCGGUGAUCUAGCCAUGGGCAGGUUGAAGGUUGGGUAACACUAACUGGAGGACCGAACCGACUAAUGUUGAAAAAUUAGCGGAUGACUUGUGGCUGGGGGUGAAAGGCCAAUCAAACCGGGAGAUAGCUGGUUCUCCCCGAAAGCUAUUUAGGUAGCGCCUCGUGAAUUCAUCUCCGGGGGUAGAGCACUGUUUCGGCAAGGGGGUCAUCCCGACUUACCAACCCGAUGCAAACUGCGAAUACCGGAGAAUGUUAUCACGGGAGACACACGGCGGGUGCUAACGUCCGUCGUGAAGAGGGAAACAACCCAGACCGCCAGCUAAGGUCCCAAAGUCAUGGUUAAGUGGGAAACGAUGUGGGAAGGCCCAGACAGCCAGGAUGUUGGCUUAGAAGCAGCCAUCAUUUAAAGAAAGCGUAAUAGCUCACUGGUCGAGUCGGCCUGCGCGGAAGAUGUAACGGGGCUAAACCAUGCACCGAAGCUGCGGCAGCGACGCUUAUGCGUUGUUGGGUAGGGGAGCGUUCUGUAAGCCUGUGAAGGUGUGCUGUGAGGCAUGCUGGAGGUAUCAGAAGUGCGAAUGCUGACAUAAGUAACGAUAAAGCGGGUGAAAAGCCCGCUCGCCGGAAGACCAAGGGUUCCUGUCCAACGUUAAUCGGGGCAGGGUGAGUCGACCCCUAAGGCGAGGCCGAAAGGCGUAGUCGAUGGGAAACAGGUUAAUAUUCCUGUACUUGGUGUUACUGCGAAGGGGGGACGGAGAAGGCUAUGUUGGCCGGGCGACGGUUGUCCCGGUUUAAGCGUGUAGGCUGGUUUUCCAGGCAAAUCCGGAAAAUCAAGGCUGAGGCGUGAUGACGAGGCACUACGGUGCUGAAGCAACAAAUGCCCUGCUUCCAGGAAAAGCCUCUAAGCAUCAGGUAACAUCAAAUCGUACCCCAAACCGACACAGGUGGUCAGGUAGAGAAUACCAAGGCGCUUGAGAGAACUCGGGUGAAGGAACUAGGCAAAAUGGUGCCGUAACUUCGGGAGAAGGCACGCUGAUAUGUAGGUGAGGUCCCUCGCGGAUGGAGCUGAAAUCAGUCGAAGAUACCAGCUGGCUGCAACUGUUUAUUAAAAACACAGCACUGUGCAAACACGAAAGUGGACGUAUACGGUGUGACGCCUGCCCGGUGCCGGAAGGUUAAUUGAUGGGGUUAGCGGUAACGCGAAGCUCUUGAUCGAAGCCCCGGUAAACGGCGGCCGUAACUAUAACGGUCCUAAGGUAGCGAAAUUCCUUGUCGGGUAAGUUCCGACCUGCACGAAUGGCGUAAUGAUGGCCAGGCUGUCUCCACCCGAGACUCAGUGAAAUUGAACUCGCUGUGAAGAUGCAGUGUACCCGCGGCAAGACGGAAAGACCCCGUGAACCUUUACUAUAGCUUGACACUGAACAUUGAGCCUUGAUGUGUAGGAUAGGUGGGAGGCUUUGAAGUGUGGACGCCAGUCUGCAUGGAGCCGACCUUGAAAUACCACCCUUUAAUGUUUGAUGUUCUAACGUUGACCCGUAAUCCGGGUUGCGGACAGUGUCUGGUGGGUAGUUUGACUGGGGCGGUCUCCUCCUAAAGAGUAACGGAGGAGCACGAAGGUUGGCUAAUCCUGGUCGGACAUCAGGAGGUUAGUGCAAUGGCAUAAGCCAGCUUGACUGCGAGCGUGACGGCGCGAGCAGGUGCGAAAGCAGGUCAUAGUGAUCCGGUGGUUCUGAAUGGAAGGGCCAUCGCUCAACGGAUAAAAGGUACUCCGGGGAUAACAGGCUGAUACCGCCCAAGAGUUCAUAUCGACGGCGGUGUUUGGCACCUCGAUGUCGGCUCAUCACAUCCUGGGGCUGAAGUAGGUCCCAAGGGUAUGGCUGUUCGCCAUUUAAAGUGGUACGCGAGCUGGGUUUAGAACGUCGUGAGACAGUUCGGUCCCUAUCUGCCGUGGGCGCUGGAGAACUGAGGGGGGCUGCUCCUAGUACGAGAGGACCGGAGUGGACGCAUCACUGGUGUUCGGGUUGUCAUGCCAAUGGCACUGCCCGGUAGCUAAAUGCGGAAGAGAUAAGUGCUGAAAGCAUCUAAGCACGAAACUUGCCCCGAGAUGAGUUCUCCCUGACUCCUUGAGAGUCCUGAAGGAACGUUGAAGACGACGACGUUGAUAGGCCGGGUGUGUAAGCGCAGCGAUGCGUUGAGCUAACCGGUACUAAUGAACCGUGAGGCUUAACCU
Molecule: ribosomal RNA, 2901 nt
Filed under: Escherichia coli 2-011-08_S1_C3
Lineage: Bacteria; Pseudomonadati; Pseudomonadota; Gammaproteobacteria; Enterobacterales; Enterobacteriaceae
Description: bacterial LSU rRNA
Rfam family: Bacterial large subunit ribosomal RNA
Source: RNAcentral